This 497-nucleotide ribosomal RNA is filed under the name uncultured bacterium. Its description in RNAcentral is "partial 16S ribosomal RNA". It matches the Rfam family "Bacterial small subunit ribosomal RNA", at positions 28 to 507 of the family's 1533-position model. The record is from RNAcentral.
GAUGAACGCUGGCGGCGUGCCUAAUACAUGCAAGUCGAGCGAACAGACGAGGAGCUUGCUCCUCUGACGUUAGCGGCGGACGGGUGAGUAACACGUGGAUAACCUACCUAUAAGACUGGGAUAACUUCGGGAAACCGGAGCUAAUACCGGAUAAUAUGUUGAACCGCAUGGUUCAACAGUGAAAGACGGUUUUGCUGUCACUUAUAGAUGGAUCCGCGUUGCAUUAGCUAGUUGGUAAGGUAACGGCUUACCAAGGCAACGAUGCGUAGCCGACCUGAGAGGGUGAUCGGCCACACUGGAACUGAGACACGGUCCAGACUCCUACGGGAGGCAGCAGUAGGGAAUCUUCCGCAAUGGGCGAAAGCCUGACGGAGCAACGCCGCGUGAGUGAAGAAGGUCUUCGGAUCGUAAAACUCUGUUAUUAGGGAAGAACAAAUGUGUAAGUAACUAUGCACGUCUUGACGGUACCUAAUCAGAAAGCCACGGCUAACUACGUG